UCACACGUCCGACCGUGGUAGUACUACGUAGACGAAACAAAUAGCUAAUACAUAUAACAGGAGGCGAUUGACACUGCACAAUCCGUGUCACAACAAGAUAGGAGGGAGGGGGGGGGUUCAAAAAGGGGAGAAAGGAUCAGAAUUCAGCGGGUCGGAUAGUAGUAUCCGCCUGCCAUAUUAUAAGCUGUUGGCAUCCCAUAUGGCAUCGUCGGGUUGGGCAUGAAGGUGUUGUUGAGCUUGGCUAAGCUGGUCUGGCCCUGCAUCCCAUCUUUUGCAUACUGCUGCCACACGACCUGCUCCUGAACCAACAACUGCUGUUUCUUCUCUAUUUCUGCCAUCUGAACAUAGGAAGGUGGAGGAAUACUAAGCGAUGCUGCGAACGGAUCCCCUCCGAUGGUCUGCAUGGUACCAUCAGGUGCAGGAAGGGCGAGAACCGGAGCGGCGCCACGCCCGGGCACAGGCAAGGCCACACUGCUUGAGCUCCCUCCACUCAUCUGGGCAUUCACUUGCUGCUUCACAGCUCCC
Molecule: long non-coding RNA, 525 nt
Filed under: Musa acuminata (dwarf banana)
Lineage: Eukaryota; Viridiplantae; Streptophyta; Magnoliopsida; Zingiberales; Musaceae
Description: long non-coding RNA (MACU_LNC004998)
Source: RNAcentral